UUAGGUUUUUUAUUUACAGACCCAACCCUUCUCCUACUUCAGCCGCCGACGUGAAGAAAAUCCUCCCACCCACCGUAUUCGAUCUUAUUUUUUUCAACUAUCAAAGCAUCCCCCCACCGUAUUCGAUCCUCAACCAUCAACACCAGAAGAAACCUAAACGACAUCGCCCCUAUUUGUCUUCUAUCUUGAAGAUUCGGAUUGAUAAAAACAAAAUUGAAGAUUCGGAUUGUAUUUUUUUCGUGAUGAUGAGGAAUCGAAGAUCUGGAAUAAACGCUAAUCUUAAGAUUCAGAUUGUAUUUGUUCGUGACGAUGAUGAACUGAGGAUGAUUUCAAACUAUUUGAUUGAACUCUUUUUCUCUCCUCACUGACUUUCGGUUUUUAAAGGAUGGUAACGUAUCGCCUCGCCGUUGUACAAGUUGUUUUGUAGCUAAUGAGCCCAUGUUUGUGAUCCAAGCUUACAACACCUUUAAAUAGACCGAGACCGUGGUCCAUAUCCGGCUCAUUCGUUCUCAAAGAGCUUCAAGGGAGUUUUGGGUUUAUACUCUGUGAUGUCAAGUCUAAAACUGUGUUCGUAUCACUUGGUGCAGAUAGGGAAGUGAAGCUCUUCCGGGGAAUAGCAGAUCAUGCUCUAUGGUAAUUUCUGAUAACUUGGUG
This 654-nucleotide long non-coding RNA is filed under the name Helianthus annuus (common sunflower). RNAcentral describes it as "hypothetical non coding rna". The record is from RNAcentral. Lineage: Eukaryota; Viridiplantae; Streptophyta; Magnoliopsida; Asterales; Asteraceae.